GGUUGCCUCUCCCCACUCAGUAAGGGCCCCACACUUUUCCUGACCUCCUCCUUGUUGCUAACAUACCUGUAGAAACCCUUCUUAAACUUAACAUCCCUU
Gopherus evgoodei (Goodes thornscrub tortoise) is the source of this 99-nucleotide long non-coding RNA. RefSeq lists it as uncharacterized. The transcript is spliced from 3 exons. The record is from RefSeq and is a predicted model, not a curated record. Lineage: Eukaryota; Metazoa; Chordata; Testudines; Testudinidae.